RNAcentral lists this ribosomal RNA (335 nucleotides) under uncultured bacterium. RNAcentral describes it as "bacterial SSU rRNA". It matches the Rfam family "Bacterial small subunit ribosomal RNA", at positions 28 to 334 of the family's 1533-position model. The record is from RNAcentral.
GAUGAACGCUGGCGGCGUGCUUAACACAUGCAAGUCGAACGGGGUUAUCAUUUUUGAAGCAAUUAGCUUGCUAAGAGUGGAAAUGUUGAUAACUUAGUGGCGGACGGGUGAGUAACGCGUGGGGAACCUGCCUUGCACCGGGGGAUAACACUUAGAAAUAGGUGCUAAUACCGCAUAAGCGCACAGAGCCGCAUGGCUCGGUGUGAAAAACUCCGGUGGUGCAAGAUGGACCCGCGUCUGAUUAGCUGGUUGGCGGGGUAACGGCCCACCAAGGCGACGAUCAGUAGCCGGCCUGAGAGGGUGAACGGCCACAUUGGGACUGAGACACGGCCCAA